AAACGAUGCCAACCAGCGAUCCGCCUGAGUUCCUUAAAUGACUCGGCGGGCAGCUUCCGGGAAACCAAAGUUUUUCGGUUCCGGGGGAAGUAUGGUUGCAAAGCUGAAACUUAAAGGAAUUGACGGAAGGGCACCACCAAGAGUGGAGCCUGCGGCUUAAUUUGACUCAACACGGGAAAACUCACCCGGCCCGGACACCGUAAGGAUUGACAGACUGAGAGCUCUUUCUUAAUUCGGUGGGUGGUGGUGCAUGGCCGUUCUUAGUUGGUGGAGCGAUUUGUCUGGUUAAUUCCGAUAACGAACGAGACUCUGGCCUAUUAAAUAGUCGGUAUAUCCAGAAAAGUUUACCGUACUUCUUAGAGGGACAAACGGCGUCUAGCCGCGUGAAAUAGAGCAAUAACAGGUCUGUGAUGCCCUUAGAUGUCCGGGGCUGCACGCGCGCUACACUGAAAGAAUCAGUAUGCGCUUUAACCUAGUCCGGAAGGAUUGGGUAACCCGAGCAAAUUCUUUCGUGCUUGGGAUAGGGAAUUGCAAUUAUUUCCCUUAAACGAGGAAUUCCCAGUAAAUGCGGGUCAUAAGCUCGCGUUGAUUACGUCCCUGCCCUUUGUACACACCGCCCGUCGCUACUACCGAUUGGAUGACUUAGUGAGGUCUUAGGACCGACGUAAAGGAGCUUUCGCGAGUUCUUUUUCGUUGGAAAUUUGAUCGAACUACGUUAUCUAGAGGAAGUAAAAGUCGUAACAAGGGUUUCCGUAGGUGA
This 760-nucleotide ribosomal RNA is filed under the name uncultured eukaryote. RNAcentral's name for it is "SSU rRNA". It matches the Rfam family "Eukaryotic small subunit ribosomal RNA", at positions 1034 to 1812 of the family's 1831-position model. The record is from RNAcentral.